AUCGCUUCUCGGCCUUUUGGCUAAAAUCAAGUGUAGUAUGUUCUUAUCAGUGUUAUCUGUUGCUUAAAAACUUCAUCAAGGAUUUCAU
This is a small nuclear RNA of Gadus morhua (Atlantic cod), 88 nucleotides long. Its record names the gene U2. It matches the Rfam family "U2 spliceosomal RNA". Rfam says of the family: U2 is a small nuclear RNA (snRNA) component of the spliceosome (involved in pre-mRNA splicing). The record is from Ensembl. NCBI's taxonomy places the organism in Eukaryota, Metazoa, Chordata, Actinopteri, Gadiformes, Gadidae.